Molecule: ribosomal RNA, 780 nt
Filed under: uncultured bacterium
Lineage: Bacteria
Description: bacterial SSU rRNA
Rfam family: Bacterial small subunit ribosomal RNA
Source: RNAcentral
AGAGUUUGAUCCUGGCUCAGGACGAACGCUGACGGUGUGCUCUAGACAUGCAAGUCGAACGAGAAAGCCCUUCGGGGUGAGUACAGUGGCGAACGGGUGAGUAACACGUGGGCAAUCUGCCCCUCGCAGGGGGAUAACCGGGGGAAACCCCGGCUAAUACCCCGUACACUUACGGAGCCGCAUGGCUCUGUAAGAAGAGGUAGCUUCGGCCAUCCGGCGAGGGAUGAGCCCGCGGCACAUUAGCUAGUUGGUAGGGUAACGGCCUACCAAGGCGACGAUGUAUAGCUGGUCUGAGAGGAUGAUCAGCCACACUGGGACUGAGACACGGCCCAGACUCCAACGGGAGGCAGCAGUCGGGAAUCUUGCGCAAUGGGCGAAAGCCUGACGCAGCAACACCGUGUGAGUGACGAAGGCCCUAGGGUCGUAAAGCUCUGUUGUUGGGGACGAAGGGUUAGGGGUUAAUAGCCCCGAGCCUGACGGUACCCUUCGAGGAAGCCCCGGCUAACUACGUGCCAGCAGCCGCGGUAAUACGUAGGGGGCGAGCGUUGUCCGGAAUUAUUGGGCGUAAAGAGCGUGUAGGCGGUUCGGUAAGUCUGCCGUGAAAACCCAGGGCUCAACCCUGGGCGUGCGGUGGAUACUGCCGGGCUAGAGGGUGGUAGAGGCGAGUGGAAUUCCCGGUGUAGCGGUGAAAUGCGCAGAUAUCGGGAGGAACACCAGUAGCGAAGGCGGCUCGCUGGGCCAUACCUGACGCUGAGACGCGAAAGCGUGGGGAGCAAACAG